Long non-coding RNA from Cyprinus carpio carpio, 3002 nucleotides. The record is from Ensembl. Lineage: Eukaryota; Metazoa; Chordata; Actinopteri; Cypriniformes; Cyprinidae.
GGCGUCUCGGAAGACACCUGGAGAAAGAUGAUUUAUGUCAUAGUGCAGAAAGGAAGCGAUUUGAGGAAACGGGGCAGGAGCUGGCCGAGCUGCUGGAUGAGGAGAAACUUAGUGGCGUACCUGUUUUGAUCUUUGCCAAUAAGCAAGACCUGCUGACUGCUGCUCCGGCCUCUGAGAUCGCAGAGGGACUGAACCUGCGCACCAUUCGGGACCGCAUGUGGCAAAUUCAGUCCUGCUCUGCACUUACAGGAGAGGGGGUUCAGGAUGGCAUGAACUGGGUCUGCAAGAACGUUACAGCAAAGAAGAAGCAAAGGCAGGGCUAAUGUCACACCUCCAUCAAACCCUACGUAGCCAUGGCAACUGCUCCAGCUGCUUUAUGUUCAUGUCAGAACUGGUAAGUGUGUGGAGACCUGCUGUUUCAUAAAUGUUAAAGGCACUGCCUGCUUUUCUCUAGAAUAACUCAUAGAUAUUGAUCCCUUAUUCUUGGUAACUGAAAUGCUUACUUGGAAAUCCAGUGCCUGAUUGACAGACAAAGCACUCAGAGAUGGUUGGGGUUCACAAAAGAACUCAUUCCUCAGAGUAUAUAUUCACUCAACUCCUUGCUUGGCCCAGUCUCCAGUCCAAGCACUCAGCAAACACUGCACUCUUAAAACAAAGAGACACAGAGUGGGCUUCAAUGCACCGGGACUGUCAGCACCUUCUUUCACAAAUCAGUGAGCAACAGACAUUGGCUGAUUUUUUAGUUUGUCCCCUGAAUGACACUGAACUGGAAUUCUCCACAGAGGCCAACUGGCCUGUGAAGGACAUGGUGAUGAGGUGCGCCAGCUGCAGGUGAGGCCAACCCACAGACUUCUGAUUCCACUUUCUAGCUUAAAACAUUGAGGUUAAUAUUGAGUUACAAACCUGUUUAAAAUUUUGUUAUACUGAAGAAAAGAAAAUUCUGUCAUCUUCCAACCUUUAUACCUUUCUUUCUCAUGUUUCAACUGUUUUGUUAAAACAGAUGUUGUUUAUGUAGUGAAAUACAAUGGUCCAAAACAACAUUGGACCCUACUGACUUUAACAAAAUUAAUUGUAAUAUUAAGAUAAGUAUUAUCGAUCUAACUGUACUGACACCAUCAGAUGACAACAAAAUUUGACCUGAAUUGAUCUAGACAAUGACACUAACUUUGCAAUGCUGACAAUGUUGUUGAACUGAACUGAAUCAACACUGAAGUGAAUUGAGCUGAAUUAUGACCUUAUUGCCUUCUGAAGAGCUGCUUACAGAUGAAUUGAACAAAUUUUUAAUAACUGAUUAACUUUGUAACAUUGACAGUUAUUGCACUAAAUUGAGUUGAAUAAUGACAUUAUUGCAUUCUGAAGUGCUGCAUUACAAAAAAUGAAUUUGUUUCAUAAUUGAUCAUAACACUUUAGUAUAGGCAUCAUCUCUCACUAUUAACUAAGUUUAAUGAGGUCAACUGAGUUUAAUGAGGCACAAGUAAUAGUUAAUGGUUUGUUAAUAGUAAGAAUUGGGCCUUAAAUUAAAUUGUGAGCAUUGAUAAUUUUAGAUUUACACUGUUGUUUUCCUGUUUAUUAAUGUGAAGCAGCUUCUUUUAAUAAUCUGUGUUGUACAAAUUAUAUAAACAAAUGUGAUAAAAAAAAAACUUUUGCAUUCCCACAGACGAAAGAAAGGUUUGCAAGUAUAGAAUCAUGAAUGAACAGAAAUUAAUUUUUGAGCAUUUUUUUUUUUUUCAUGAAAUCUAAACUGACAACUCUUAUGGAAUAUUCCCGUGUUUAUUCUAUUUUUUUUUUUUUUAGUCUUUCAAGAAGCCAUUUUAUUUAGAUAUACAUUGCAAAUGGAAAGAAAACAUUUGUCAUUUCUUGCUGUUUUGUCUCUGAAAAAUGUCCAGUACUCCGUUCCGUGCUGAAUAUUUAGGAAUAAUGAAUCCUACGGAAAGCAUCCAAUGACCUUACAGAUUUUUUUUGCAGUUACUAACUUUUGCCUUUGAUGACAUUUCCCGUUUCCAUUUUUGCUGGUGUUGUCUUUUCUUGUAAUCCUCCUGGCUUGAUGAUUCAUAACCACAUAUGUGUAGAAAUCUAUGAGGUUUACAGUAAAAGUUGUGAUUUCAAAAUGAACAUUGCAACACAUAGGUAGCCGUAACAGUAAGGAAAGCAGGAAGAGAGAGCUGUGCCACAAUGCUCAGAAUAACUACGUCUAAUGAGAUGAUGACAUCUUUCAUUUACACAACAUGAUCACAUUAACUGUUUCUGUUUGAAUGGCUUAAUACAGGGCUAUUCAAUUGGCGGCCCACGGGCCACAUGCGGCCCGGAAGCAACCUCCAAAUGGCCCAGCCCGUGGUCCCGCCAAAAACGCACAUCCCUACGUGAAUUCAUACAGUGUCACGAUGAUCUCAAUUUGGCACUACAAGGCAGAGACAAAACUGUCAUCGACCUUGUGGAACAGAUGCGUGCAUUCCCAGUUAAACUGGACCUUUUCGCAACUGAUUUGAUCACAGGCCGAAUGCUGCAUUUUCCGACACUCCGCAAAUGCAUCUCAUCCCCCGCACAAAUCACAGAUGUGAUGACAGAUUUUAUUGCGAGGUUGAAAAUGAACUUUGCUGGUCGAUUGGAUGGACUUGUUCUGCCCACAGAGGUGGCCGUUUUUGUCAGAGACCCGUUCACUGUUGCAAUAGAAGGGGACUUAUCCGCCAGAGCAAAACAAGUGGUUCCUUCCAUUGAUGAGGGGAAAUUCACACUCGAACUUGUUGACAUGCGGUCAUCUGUAACCAUGGCACAGGAGCUUUGCACUAACGGCCCUACAAUGUUUUGAACUAAUGUCAAUGUACAUCAGUUUCCUAACAUUAAGAAAGUAGCGAUCGUCAUGCUCAGUAUGUUUGGUUCAACUUACACAUGUGAGUCAAGCUUUUCACACAUGAACUCCAUAAAAAGCAACUCUCGUUGCUCCCUGACUGACCGUACUCUCCACCAAUGCCUUCGGAUUGCAUUGACAACUUACGAGCCUAAAG